CACCGCGGUUAUACGAGGAACUCAAGUUGACAAGCCCCGGCGUAAAGCGUGGUUAAAUAUAUUUAUAAACUAAAGCCGAAAACAUUCACAGCAGUUAUACGCAUGAGAGUAAUAAGCCCGCUUACGAAAGUAGCUUUAUAGUAUUUGAAUCCACGAAAACUGGGGCA
This 167-nucleotide ribosomal RNA is filed under the name Nemipterus virgatus (golden threadfin bream). RNAcentral's name for it is "partial 12S rRNA". Lineage: Eukaryota; Metazoa; Chordata; Actinopteri; Spariformes; Nemipteridae. The record is from RNAcentral.